Molecule: non-coding RNA, 465 nt
Organism: Hemibagrus wyckioides
Lineage: Eukaryota; Metazoa; Chordata; Actinopteri; Siluriformes; Bagridae
Source: the annotation of a RefSeq genome assembly
UUCACUGCUAUAUUCAUGUGUCUGUGGUUUUCAGUAGGUGACUCCAUGGAAGAUUCAAUAGAGGCACUUUUCACCCAAAAGUUUGUAGAUGAAGGUGACAAUGUUACUCUGUCCUGCAAAUACAAAAAAAUUGGUACAUCAAACUACCUGUACUGGUACAGGCAAUAUCCAACAUCUGAACCUGAGUUCCUUCUUAAUAUUCUUCAAAGUGGAGAUGUAAUUUCCAACACUGACCCUAGAAUGUCUGCUAAAAUUGAUGAUAAACAAGUGGAUCUGAUCAUCUCCUCUGCUGCUGUAUCAGACUCUGCACUAUACUACUGUGCUCUGACGCCCACAGUGACAGGAAAUCCAGCUGCACUGUACAAAAACUUUCACACAGUUUAACUACACUGAAGGCAAAUAUACUACUGUUUUUUCCUCUUUUAGCUGAUCCCAUUAGGGUUGGUUUAGCUGAUCCAGUGGCUG